AUUCCAGCUCCAGUAGCGUAUAUUAAAGUUGUUGCAGUUAAAAAGCUCGUAGUUGGAUUUCUGGCCUGACGAAACUGACCCGCCGCGGUUACGCGUGUGAGUGUCGGGCUUCGUCUGCCAUCCUUCCAGAAAGCGUUUCUACCCUUCACUGGGCUGGAUUCGCGAUCUGGAACUUUUACUUUGAAGAAAUUAGAGUGUUCAAAGCAGGCUUGCGCUGUGAAUACAUUAGCAUGGAAUAAUAAUUUAGGACUCAGGUCUUAUUUUGUUGGUUCUUAAGAUCUAAGUAAUGAUUGAUAGGGAUAGUUGGGGGUGCUAGUAUUCAGCGGCCAGAGGUGAAAUUCUUGGAUUCGCUGAAGACUAACUUAUGCGAAAGCAUUCACCAAGGAUGUCUUCAUCG
RNAcentral lists this ribosomal RNA (397 nucleotides) under Marimonadida sp. Its description in RNAcentral is "partial small subunit ribosomal RNA". It matches the Rfam family "Eukaryotic small subunit ribosomal RNA", at positions 582 to 975 of the family's 1831-position model. The record is from RNAcentral. Lineage: Eukaryota; Cercozoa; Imbricatea; Marimonadida.